RNAcentral lists this ribosomal RNA (207 nucleotides) under uncultured bacterium. RNAcentral's name for it is "partial 16S ribosomal RNA". It matches the Rfam family "Bacterial small subunit ribosomal RNA", at positions 568 to 774 of the family's 1533-position model. The record is from RNAcentral.
CUCGUAGGCGGCUUGUCGCGUCUGCUGUGAAAUCCCGGAGCUCAACUCCGGGCCUGCAGUGGGUACGGGCAGGCUAGAGUGCGGUAGGGGAGAUUGGAAUUCCUGGUGUAACGGUGGAAUGUGUAGAUAUCGGGAAGAACACCAAUGGCGAAGGCAGGUCUCUGGGCCGUUACUGACGCUGAGGAGCGAAAGCGUGGGGAGCAAACA